Molecule: long non-coding RNA, 805 nt
Filed under: Androctonus crassicauda
Lineage: Eukaryota; Metazoa; Arthropoda; Arachnida; Scorpiones; Buthidae
Source: RNAcentral
GUAUGAUCAUCAAUGGAAUCUACAAUAAAGAAUAUACUAAACACUUUGCUUUUAAUCAGCUACAAUUCAAAAACCAAGCACUACAGCAAAGAUAACACAGUUUUUAAUAUGAUAUGGUGUUCUCGGACAGUGUCACUCUCUCAUCGGUGCCAUAUACUAGGAACUUGCGGGCUGAAUACGUGGAGCAGGGUUUGAAAGUAUUCUUGGGCGUUAGGAAUCAUAAAAUUCCUUUACAUACAUAGAUAUGGCACUAGCUACCCAGGCGUAUGAGCAAGAAAUUGAUAUUAAAUGGGACCAAGUGUGCAUAAUAAAACCACUGUGUGAUACUACAGGUGUCACCAUGCUAGAAGCCAUAGAAAUUGAGAAAAGAAGACUUUCACUUAAUAUUAUUAAUGAUAAUGAACCAUUAGUGUUACCUAUGUCAUCGAAAUGGUGUGUCCGACAUGCUAUUUAGAAUUAUAUAAUGUAAUUCCCGUAUACCCUAGUAUACUUAUCUAGUAUGUUGCGUAGCACACCACACGAUUGUCCCCUUAACUCAUACUAUGUGGGCUUAUGCAGUAUGUAUAAUAUAUAUUUUGAUGUGUAGAUUUGGUAUUUAACUAGUUGGCAUUAUAUGUUAUUUUAUUGUGUUUUAUUAUCAUGUUUUAUUAUAACUUCUUAUAUUUUAUUUUAUAUAUUACUAGUUGUUGUAUUUCUUGCUGUAUGUUUUGGUAUUUACUUAUUAUACCAUUGUAAUUCGUGCACACAUUUUAUGUAUUAUGUGUUUUUGGUUUCAAUGUGUUUUUAAUGUGAUAGGACAUAGGAU